This 491-nucleotide ribosomal RNA is filed under the name uncultured bacterium. Its description in RNAcentral is "partial 16S ribosomal RNA". It matches the Rfam family "Bacterial small subunit ribosomal RNA", at positions 29 to 507 of the family's 1533-position model. The record is from RNAcentral.
AGUGAACGCUGGCGGUAGGCCUAACACAUGCAAGUCGAACGGCAGCACAGUAAGAGCUUGCUCUUACGGGUGGCGAGUGGCGGACGGGUGAGGAAUACAUCGGAAUCUACUUUUUCGUGGGGGAUAACGUAGGGAAACUUACGCUAAUACCGCAUACGACCUACGGGUGAAAGCAGGGGAUCUUCGGACCUUGCGCGAUUGAAUGAGCCGAUGUCGGAUUAGCUAGUUGGCGGGGUAAAGGCCCACCAAGGCGACGAUCCGUAGCUGGUCUGAGAGGAUGAUCAGCCACACUGGAACUGAGACACGGUCCAGACUCCUACGGGAGGCAGCAGUGGGGAAUAUUGGACAAUGGGCGCAACCCUGAUCCAGCCAUACCGCGUGGUGAAGAAGGCCUUCGGGUUGUAAAGCCCUUUUGUUGGGAAAGAAAAGCAGCAGGUUAAUACCCCGCUGUUCUGACGGUACCCAAAGAAUAAGCACCGGCUAACUUCGUG